RNAcentral lists this transfer RNA (72 nucleotides) under Fasciola gigantica. It matches the Rfam family "tRNA". From Rfam's summary of the family: Transfer RNA (tRNA) molecules are approximately 80 nucleotides in length. Their secondary structure includes four short double-helical elements and three loops (D, anti-codon, and T loops). Lineage: Eukaryota; Metazoa; Platyhelminthes; Trematoda; Plagiorchiida; Fasciolidae. The record is from Rfam by way of RNAcentral.
ACCGCGAUAGCCCAGUCGGUAAAAGCAUCUGCCCGGUAUGCGGAGGGUGCCGGUUCGGUCCGGCUCGCGGCG